GUUCACCUUCAUCUCCUAAAAAAAAAAGAAACAAGAACACUCACACACACAUGAACUCCUCCAUCUUCUUCACAAAGGUUUAUAAUCCAAACCAUACCCAUAAUAUGUGGGACAUACGAAGCCUAUAAAUACCGACACUCUCAGCCUACUCGACACCCUCACACCAUCACAACAUCUUUUCGCUCAAACCGCAUACUCGUCGGAGAAGCCGGGUCGUCACCGGAAGAACUUGAAGCUCGCCGGAGCCGUACGGAAUCCGACGGAACUCUUUUCUUUUGUUCGGACAUCACCUUCUCCUUUUGGUUCGCGCUGGUUCACGUCGGAGACAACCUAAGUUCGCAACGGGAACCAUUUCAUCGAUUCGGAUAACCGCUCUCGUUCGUUCUCUUCAAUUCCCAAUCUUUACUCGUGCGAUAAUUCAAGGAAUUCUCAUAUGCAAUCAAUGUUGAUGAUUGAUGACACUAUGAAAAUGGAUAGCGAAGAUGCCUAG
RNAcentral lists this long non-coding RNA (490 nucleotides) under Helianthus annuus (common sunflower). RNAcentral's name for it is "sRNA HanXRQr2_Chr12g0543401". Lineage: Eukaryota; Viridiplantae; Streptophyta; Magnoliopsida; Asterales; Asteraceae. The record is from RNAcentral.